GAGGGUGUAGCUCAGUGGCCGAGCUCAUGCUUAGCAGGCACGAGGUCCUGGGUUCAAUCCCCAGUACCUCCA
Molecule: transfer RNA, 72 nt
Filed under: Camelus dromedarius (Arabian camel)
Lineage: Eukaryota; Metazoa; Chordata; Mammalia; Artiodactyla; Camelidae
Also listed under: 1 other name
Rfam family: tRNA
About the family: Transfer RNA (tRNA) molecules are approximately 80 nucleotides in length. Their secondary structure includes four short double-helical elements and three loops (D, anti-codon, and T loops).
Source: Rfam by way of RNAcentral